Molecule: ribosomal RNA, 170 nt
Filed under: Atopogale cubana (Cuban Solenodon)
Lineage: Eukaryota; Metazoa; Chordata; Mammalia; Eulipotyphla; Solenodontidae
Description: partial 12S rRNA
Source: RNAcentral
CACCGCGGCCAUACGAUUAACCCAAAUCAAUAAACACCGGCGUAAAGCGUGCCAAAGAGACCACAACAAAAUAAAGUUAAGAUCUGACUAAGAUGUAAAAAUCACAAGUCAACAUAAAAAUAAACCACGAAAGUGACUUUACACACUCUAAUUGCACGAUAGCUAAGACC